Molecule: long non-coding RNA, 293 nt
Filed under: Pan troglodytes (chimpanzee)
Lineage: Eukaryota; Metazoa; Chordata; Mammalia; Primates; Hominidae
Description: lincRNA
Source: RNAcentral
AUUAUAAAAGGGAGGCAAAGAUCUGCACCUGCCGUGGAGGUUGGGCUCAUGUGCUCCUCUGCACUGGAGUUAGCCAAGGAGCGUGUGCAGAACACUUGCCUCGUAGGCCAGCCGUACAGAAGGAUGUCCCAGGUGCAGGCGAAGUUUUGUUCACGUGUUCCUGGAGGAUUUUUCCCGUGGCAAGCGCUUCUCCAUCCUCCAGCAUCUCAGGCCUGUGCACCAGCCUUCCUGUGCCCAUUGAUGGACUGAGAGGAAGAUGAGCCCUUAGGAUGCCUGUCAUGCUCACUGUUAAG